UAUAUUUGAGUAUAAAAUGUACAUUAAAUUUUGAUUUUAAAGGAAGAAAUUCUAAGUUUCUAAAUAUAA
RNAcentral lists this transfer RNA (69 nucleotides) under Syphrea sp. REN-2018. Its description in RNAcentral is "tRNA-Gln". Lineage: Eukaryota; Metazoa; Arthropoda; Insecta; Coleoptera; Chrysomelidae. The record is from RNAcentral.